RNAcentral lists this ribosomal RNA (121 nucleotides) under Danio rerio (zebrafish). Lineage: Eukaryota; Metazoa; Chordata; Actinopteri; Cypriniformes; Danionidae. The record is from RNAcentral.
GCCGGCAGCUAGCUCUCUGCAACUCUCACAUGGUCACCCACUGAAGCUAAGUAGGGCUGCGCCUGGUUAGUAAAGUUACCUGGAUGGGAGACCACAUGGGAAAGUUAGCUUGCUGUCGGAG